Molecule: long non-coding RNA, 660 nt
Filed under: Homo sapiens (human)
Lineage: Eukaryota; Metazoa; Chordata; Mammalia; Primates; Hominidae
Description: novel transcript
Source: RNAcentral
UUCGUGGUCUCCCAGUUCCCGUGGCCGUCGUAUUGGUCGGCAGGGGGCGCCGCGCCACAAGCUUCCUGCACAAGAGUCCAAAACUUCUUUCUUGGUUUCCUUUGAGACAGGCUGCAGGUUUCUUGGUUGCUGACACGGGUAGACGAUAAUAGGUGAAUAAACAAAAUCCAGCCAGCAUAAAUACAGUCUAACUGUUGAAGAACAGAUUUCUGAGUCUACCAUAACUUUCAUACACUGCAGCACUUUAACGUUGAACCUGCCACCUUCAGAUUCACACUGCAGCACCUCAGGUAAGAAGGAAAGGAAGUGAAUAUGCACUGAGGACCUACUUGUGUUAUGAGCUUUACAGUUCAGCUGCGCUGGAGAAGAGUUUAUUUCUUUCAUGGAAUCCAUUACAUCACCGAUCCCCUUCUGAAGGAGGUUAUUUUAUCCACGAGAGGAAGCAUCCAAAGGUGUUCAUAUUCUCUACCCUGUGACUCCAGCAGAAUGGUGACAAGGUUUUGAAGCAAAGGAGGGCACUUGACUCUAGGGCAGCCGUCCAUUAACUGACUAGCCCGGUGCCUGUGGAACAGAGUUGCGUGAGGAUUUUACCCUUUUGGAAUAAUCCAGUGACAAAACUGGAUACUAUUACUUUCAUUCCUUCCCCCGAUGCCAGGAGAU